This 482-nucleotide ribosomal RNA is filed under the name uncultured bacterium. Its description in RNAcentral is "partial 16S ribosomal RNA". It matches the Rfam family "Bacterial small subunit ribosomal RNA", at positions 28 to 523 of the family's 1533-position model. The record is from RNAcentral.
GACGAACGCUGGAGGCGUGCUUAACACAUGCAAGUCGAACGAUGAAAUGGAGCUUGCUCCAUGGAUUAGUGGCGAACGGGUGAGUAACACGAGAAUAACCUGCCCUUAAUUUUGGAAUAACCCAGGGAAACCUGGGCUAAUACCGGAUAAGUAAACCUGUGGCAUCACAUGGUUUUGGAAAGUUUUUCGAUUAAGGAUGGAUUCGCGGCCCAUCAGCUUGUUGGUGAGGUAAUGGCUCACCAAGGCGACGACGGGUAGCCGGCCUGAGAGGGUGAACGGCCACACUGGGACUGAGACACGGCCCAGACUCCUACGGGAGGCAGCAGUGGGGAAUAUUGCGCAAUGGACGAAAGUCUGACGCAGCGACGCCUCGUGAGGGACGGAGGUCUUCGGAUUGUAAACCUCUUUCAGCAGGGACGAAGCGAAAGUGACGGUACCUGCAGAAGAAGCACCGGCUAACUAUGUGCCAGCCGCCGCCGUAA